RNAcentral lists this long non-coding RNA (1276 nucleotides) under Ananas comosus (pineapple). RNAcentral describes it as "long non-coding RNA (ACOM_LNC002566)". Lineage: Eukaryota; Viridiplantae; Streptophyta; Magnoliopsida; Poales; Bromeliaceae. The record is from RNAcentral.
UUUUAUAUAUAUAUAUAUAUAUAUAUAUAUAGUAGGGCUGUUGUGCUCUCAGGAGUACGGAGGUCUCCGUAUUUUUGAGCCGUUUUCGAUGAUAGAAUUUUCGAAUCGAUGAUCAGCUCCGUAAGACUUGAUCUAGCGUAUUUGAAGUUUCUAGAAAAUAAUUUUUGUGAUUUUUUGAUAUCAUUUACCUAGCAAUCGAAAAGAUUCAAAAUCAAUAAUUUUUAAUAGCUGAAAAUAAGAAUUCUAUAAAAAGUGAUGAUAUAGCACUAAAAUUUUCGAUCAGAAAUAUUGAACUUGUUGUACAUAGUAUAAAAAAUUUUGUAUCAAAAUUUCAUCUGAUUUGAAUACUUCUACACCGUUAAAUUUAAAAACUGCAUAUAUCAACCAUUAAAAAUUAUUAAUUUUGAAUAAUUUCGAUCAUUAAGCAAAUGAUAUCAAAAAAUCGCAAAAAUUAUUUUCUAGAGACUUCAAAUAUCCUAGAUCAAGUCUAACGGAACCGAUCGUCGAUCCGAAUUUUAAAUUUUAAAUUUGUUAUUUUAUAACUUUGAAAUUUAAAUUUGAUCUGAAAUUUAAAAUUUUGAUAUUUAAAAUUAAAUUUUAAAAAUUUAAUAUCUAAUUUUAAAAUUUAAAAGUUAAAAUUUUAAUUUUAAAAUUCAAUUAUAGGAAUAAUAUUAUUAUUUUCCAUUUAUAACUACCAACUAUUCUUCUUAUUCUCAAAAACCAUCCAAACACAAUUUUUCUAGUUCCAGCUUAUACUCAUAAUUUUAUCCAAACAAAAAAGAUAUCCUUGUUCCUAUAAAAUCCAUACUUGUUCCUAUUUCCGAUAUAACUAGUUCCUACUAAUUCCCGAUCCAAACGGAUAGGGAUAGGGAUAGGCCCCUAUCCCCCUUUAUACCCAAACGCUAAUUUUUUAUCCGAGAAUAGUAGUUCUCGGUUAUCUCCACCAACACUUUCAUUUUCUAUAUAAAACUACUUAAUAUUUUUCUUAUCUCCGGAAAUAACCUAAUUUUUAUCCAAACGUUAUUUUUUCUUAUCCCUAUACUUGUACUUAUCCUGUAAUAGCUAAUUCUUGAUUAUACCCGAACCAAAUGGUACAAGUUUUCUCUUAUUUUUUAUUUUUUAUUUUUUGAAUUAUUGGAGAUGGCAGUUGGUAUGGAAUCUGUGGCACCAGUGAAAGUGGGGUAGGAAACUAAAAAAAAGGUCAAAAUAAUAAUAAUAAUAAUAAUAAUAAUAAUAAAGUAGAGAGGAAAAGAAGAUGUUAGGUAGGGAUUAUGUU